Long non-coding RNA from Sinocyclocheilus grahami, 184 nucleotides. RefSeq lists it as uncharacterized. The transcript is spliced from 3 exons. The record is from RefSeq and is a predicted model, not a curated record. NCBI's taxonomy places the organism in Eukaryota, Metazoa, Chordata, Actinopteri, Cypriniformes, Cyprinidae.
AGUAUAUCUGCUCUGCUUCCACGAGAUUGGUGUGUUUGUGGAUGCUUACGGUCAAAAAAGUCGCCCUGAUGAUCUCAAGUGGAGUCGACUUCCCCUGACAUUUGCAUUCAGAGAACCCUAUCUGUUUGUGACCUACUUCAACUCGCUGGAUGUUAUUGAGAUUCAGGGACAUGCAGCUCUUGGG